GUUGUGGCUCAGUGGUAGAGUGCUUGCCUAGCACACGUGAAGCACUGGGUUCCAUCCUCAACACAACA
This 68-nucleotide transfer RNA is filed under the name Marmota monax (woodchuck). RNAcentral's name for it is "tRNA.Ala". The record is from RNAcentral. Lineage: Eukaryota; Metazoa; Chordata; Mammalia; Rodentia; Sciuridae.